Molecule: long non-coding RNA, 3601 nt
Organism: Passer domesticus (house sparrow)
Lineage: Eukaryota; Metazoa; Chordata; Aves; Passeriformes; Passeridae
Exons: 3
Source: RefSeq, a predicted model, not a curated record
GGCAGAACCAGCCCUCAGGGCACUGCUGCAAAGCCCACUGGCAAUUUCACAGCGAUUGAGCAAAUCUUGGUAUCUCAGGUGACCCCACAGGAGAGCCAAGAGGGCACAGGGGGUAGGUUUCAUGUCUGGAAGUUUUCCUGCUUCCCCAUGCAAACAGCUCUGAGGAAGAUGUCUCUUUCUGCAAUCAAUCAUUUUCAUUCUGCAGUAAAUAGCUCUGACAUCAGCUACCAUUGUAUUGUUGGUGUAAAGGCAGCACAACAGAGCCCUACCAUAUUGUGAGCCCUGCAGUUUACAGCCCAUACUUCUCACACUGCCUCCCUGACAGACAAACAAGAGAUGAAGCUAUUUGGAGAGCAAGCCUGUGCUCUGCAGACAUGAAAACCCUGACACUCGUAUCUAUGUGGGCUGGCCUUUGUCUGUGAGGAGCUUGCAGGAGCUGAAUAUACCUAGGAAAGGGGCAUGCAGAAGGGGAGAGAGGUCUUCUUCUGGUGGGCUGCCAUGUCACUCAGGCUGCUUUCAUGGAGAUACCCAGGGGACACCGCUGAUGCAGCCAGCUGUGAUAAUACUUUCAGUGGGAACAGGUGCUGGGGGAUAAUCCUGCUGUUUUUCCUGGUUAUGGUUCUCUCCAGUCACUAAGACAGAGCAAACAGGAUUAUCACAGCAGCGACUCAGGAGGUGAAGGUUUUGGUGCUGCGUGCCUGGGGCUCUGGUGACAUUUGUUUCCCAGGGAGGUGCUGGCUCUGCAGAGCGGCCUGUCCUGCUGGGGGCAGCCAGGUGGGCUGGGCUGGCUGCUCCCCAGGCUCUCACUCAGACCUCCUCAGGGAUGAGGGCUGAAUCCCAGAUGGAAAGCUGCUGCUCUCUACAGCUCUCCCAGGAAGAUGCCUUCCCCAGAAUCCCAGACAGUGUGGGAUGGAGACUGCCCAGCUCUGCAUUGUCCCAAAUCCUAGCAGGAGCUGGGGGAGGAUGAGGGGUGGUAGCUCUGUUUGAGCUGCCAGAUUUUCUCUAGCCAGGAAGGUUUGAGGCACUACAGACGCCCUGGGGACUCACAGUGACCCAGCCUGCCCUGACCCUGUGAAACUUCUCUGCCUGAAGCUGUAAGUGCAGGCUCAUGCCUCCAGCAGACCUAAAUGUAUUGCCAGGUUUUGUUUUAAAUCCCUGGUGUGCUGCACUCAUCAAUCCCCUCCCAGCCCAGCUCCACUGCUCUUAGACCAGCCUGCACCCUGGUGACUGUCCUUGCCAUGCAAAGCCAAUGCCUCUCUGCUCCCAUUUCACCACCUUUUGCCCUGCUGAUAACAACCUCUGACCCCCCCUAUGAUUCCCCUCUCCACCACGGAGGAAGAGCACGUGAGGUUCUUGGAAUCAGCCUUCACAGCCUCUGUGCACAAACAACUGCUCCCCGCUGCUGGUUUGCUCCAGGACUUCCCUGAGCCCUGAUUUCAGUAUCAGCACAGCAAUUGAUCCUGGCUUCAUGGUUCUGUGCCAAUCUGGGCCCAAGGCUAUUUUAAAUGGAAAACUGCAAAAUAAACAUAUGUGUACAGCAUGUAGACACUGAACUGCAGGAGGAGGAACCAGGGACGUGCAGGGCUGUUAAAGCUCCAGCUUGCAGUUGUGCUGAUAAGGCAGUUUCCAAGAAAUUGCCCAGCCCUUAAAUUCUAGAAGCUCUCUCUUCCCAGGUCAACAACCUUCUAUGGACUCGAUCCUGGUGUCACUCUACAAGCAAACACAGGCCAGGCUGGACCUUCUGCAGGUGGUACAAAAAAGAGACCCUGUAUUUCUAAGAAGGGGUUCAGGCACCCUCUGGCAUAGGAAACACACAAUGAGAAGCACAUUGGUAACUCUGGUAAUUUGGGAAAGCACAAGAAAAUGUGCUUCAACUUCACUCUUCUUCAGCCAAGCCUCCUCCUUGCCUGAGAGGGGAUGAAGGUGGUGUUAGCUGAGCUGUGCUUCCCUGUGCCAGAAGUGGGCUGCAGUGCUGCCACACUUGGGCUCCCCCCAAGGUCUCCCCUCCUCUGGAGGAGCACCCCGUCAGCUCUGCACCCAUGCUGCUCCAGCACCUGCUCCCCUGCAGCUCCACACCCUGCUUUUGGCCAGCCUUAACUUCAGACAGGAGCAAAGGCUCCUUGGAGAGCAGAUUUUCCACAGCAUCCCUCAGCUCUAUUAGCAAAAAUGUUCAGUGUGGCUCUAGUGGGAGCACAGGCAGGGCUGACUGGACCCAGUUUUUUGGCUCCCUCAUUUCUCAGGGAUAUUUUAAAAUAUCUUAUGCAGGUGCAGGAGUUGACACAACAGAGCAUGCACCGUGUUAGAGUCUGUCCAGCUUGUGUGCAAACACCGCUAGUCCCCUUUUCAAACUCUUAGCAGUUGUUUCAUAAACAUAAAGUACUUCACUUAAUUUCCAAACCACGUGGGGUUUCCUCAGCAGGGCCGGUGGUGGAGGACAGGGCACAGCCCCAGGGCCCUGCCAGGGCUGGCAGCAGAGCCAGGCAGAGGCUACCACCUGCUGGCCCCUCCUUGGGGAGUGCUCCUCAGCCCCUCUGCACGGUGCCACUCGCUGCCUGGCAGGAGCCCUGUGUGCAUGGCACAAAGCCCUCUGGCCAGCCCUGUGUCGCUGACAGCUUCACAUGCAAGCCCUGUGAGCAGGGAGGAUGCUUACUCAGUAGCUUUGGGCACCUGACCUGUUUCUCGCUCAUUUUAUGUCUUCCAGAGCCUGUUUCUCUUCCUUGCUGACCCCACAGAACAGGGUCAUCUUUCUGAGCUGAGGCAAAUCGCUAACAUUUUGCUGAAUUGGGGAACCUGUUAUUUCCCCAUUGAAACUUGCUCCUGCCAAAAACCAAAAUGAUUCUUCCAUCAGUCCAUAGAAAGGGGAAUACAAUUCAUGUGUAUGGGAUGGGCACAUGGCUGAGUUUGUGUGGGAUCCCACGCUUGCACAGGGAGUCUGGAAAGUCUUCAUGGGAAACACCCCUGCAUGUUCAGGGCUCUCCAGGGAGAUGGUGGCAGUGUGUGGCCUCGGCUCUGCCAUGCAGCGUCACCAUGCACUGUGACCUGCAGUGCCACCCUGCAGAGCCACCCUGCAGUGUCACCAUGCAUUUGCACGGUGCAGUGUCACCAUGCACUGUCACCUGCAGUGCCACCUUGCAGUGUCACUGUACAGUGUCACCAUGGAGUGUCACCAUGCACUGCCACCGUGCAGUGUCACCUGCAGUGCCACCUUGCAGUAUCACUGUGCAGUGUCACCAUGCACUGCCACCAUGCAGUGUCACCUGCAGUGUCUCCCUGCAGGCAGCACUCACGAGCAGCCAGGUCAGGUCAGAGGGCUGCUGCAUUUGUGGGGGUGCAGAGCCUGGCUGGGCAAUCCAGGAAACCCAGGGUCGUGUUUGUCCCACUCAGAUGAGUUCUGUAGCUGACCCCGAUCCUGCAGCCUUGAGGGCACCUUUUCUGGAUGGGCACUUUGUGGAUCUUGCAGUUCUGAGCUCUCACUGCUGCCAGCUCCUCCAAGGGGCUCGUGAUGUUGCAGCAUGUGCUUUUCUGGGGCAGAGACUGGUUUUGCACCAAGCUCACUGAAUGCCAUUGACACAGUUUCUUGAUUGAGCCUUUUAUGUUUGAG